Long non-coding RNA from Chroicocephalus ridibundus (black-headed gull), 801 nucleotides. RefSeq lists it as uncharacterized. Lineage: Eukaryota; Metazoa; Chordata; Aves; Charadriiformes; Laridae. The record is from RefSeq and is a predicted model, not a curated record. The transcript has 4 exons.
GCAAAUCAGUCAUCGUGAAAUCGGAAAUUCAUUGCAGAACAAGAUUCAGGAAUGAACAUUGUAUUCGAGUGCGUGUCUCCUAUGUGUACUGCUUGAAAUUACACAGACGCAACAGCUUGUCUGCAGAGAUCGAAACCAAAGGGAUGUACCAAACCAUGAACAGUGGCGGUAAUGAAAUGUCUCCUGGGUGCCUUGGAACAUCGCAGGAGGACUCGGGCAAGGUUCCCUAGGAAACCAGAGAUGCACUCCAAAGCAUGUGCAAGCUUGGCCUGCUGACAGCCACUCAGUUGUGCUCUGACCAUCACCGCUAGAAGCCUGAAUUGAGAAAUUCUACACAUCUGCUAGUAACUUUGUAAAUCAGGAAUCUGACAAAUUAAACUCACAGCAUUCUUCUCAGGCCACCUAAAGAAAAGAAAGACUGAGAGAAAGAAAAAGAAAGACUGCAAGAAAGACUGAAAACCAACCCAACAAAAUAGGACUGUCUCCUGGACUUUAAGGCACGGGCCAGACUGAAGAGGAGGUGUAGGUGGAUACAACAUCCGCAGCGCUGGUAGGGAAGUGCGGGCCAGAGCUGAAGCUGUGAAUUCUUGGGAAUGUGGACCUUAAAAUCUGCUAACCCUGAAGGGCUGCUCUCCCCUUUGCUCUUUGUUCCAGGGGGGUGAAUUUAACUACACAGCUUUAACCAUUGGCUUUUACUGGGCUGGCAGAGGUUAUUUCAAUUGCAUUUGCUGCAGCGCUAGAAACAGAUGUGUAGAUGUUUAGUAUGGCAUUCAUCAGAAUAAUAAAAAAAAAAAUCCAACC